RNAcentral lists this ribosomal RNA (440 nucleotides) under uncultured bacterium. RNAcentral describes it as "partial 16S ribosomal RNA". It matches the Rfam family "Bacterial small subunit ribosomal RNA", at positions 338 to 795 of the family's 1533-position model. The record is from RNAcentral.
CCUACGGGUGGCAGCAGUGGGGGAUAUUGCACAAUGGGGGAAACCCUGAUGCAGCGACGCCGCGUGUGGGAAGACGGUCCUCUGGAUUGUAAACCACUGUCCCCAGGGACGAAGAUGACGGUACCGGGGGAGGAAGCGCCGGCUAACUACGUGCCAGCAGCCGCGGUAAGACGGAGGGAGCAAGCGUUGUCCGGAAUUACUGGGUGUAAAGGGAGCGUAGGCGGGAGGGCAAGUGGGGUGUUAAAUCUACCGGCUCAACUGGUAGUCGCACUCAAAACGGCUAUUCUUGAGUGAAGUAGAGGCAGGCGGCCUUCCUAGUGUAGCGGUGAACUGCGUCGAUAUUAGGCGGCACCCCAGUGGCGAAGGCGGCCUGCUGGGCUUUUCCUGCCGCUGAGGCUCGCCAGUGUGGGGAGCACACAGGAUUAGAUACCCGAGUAGUC